GUUUAGGCACAAAGAACUAGGACACAGCAGGGGCAAUUAGACAGGAACAAUAGCGAACAAUAGCUACCUAAGAUAGGAUAAGCACGCCUUAGAAGUUCGAGAUCAUUCCAUGUAAUUUCACUGUUCCCUUCUAUACACCAGUGAUCCCCAGCCUCAAUUUUGUCCUCAAUGUCCUUGUGAUAGCCAGGAAGCUCCUAUAAGGAAAGUUUAUCCAGAUUUUGCCGGACGGAAAGAGAUCCGAUUACUGAAAGUGAAGUUCCCAAAUUCAAGCUGCGCGUUCGAGGGAAACCUUAAUGAAUA
Molecule: long non-coding RNA, 300 nt
Organism: Anneissia japonica
Lineage: Eukaryota; Metazoa; Echinodermata; Crinoidea; Comatulida; Comatulidae
Exons: 3
Source: RefSeq, a predicted model, not a curated record